GAUGAACGCUGGCGGCGUGCCUAAUACAUGCAAGUCGAGCGAACGGACGAGAAGCUUGCUUCUCUGAUGUUAGCGGCGGACGGGUGAGUAACACGUGGAUAACCUACCUAUAAGACUGGGAUAACUUCGGGAAACCGGAGCUAAUACCGGAUAAUAUUUUGAACCGCAUGGUUCAAAAGUGAAAGACGGUCUUGCUGUCACUUAUAGAUGGAUCCGCGCUGCAUUAGCUAGUUGGUAAGGUAACGGCUUACCAAGGCAACGAUGCAUAGCCGACCUGAGAGGGUGAUCGGCCACACGGGAAGUGAGACACGGUCCAGACUCCUACGGGAGGCAGCAGUAGGGAAUCUUCCGCAAUGGGCGAAAGCCUGACGGAGCAACGCCGCGUGAGUGAUGAAGGUGUUCGGAUCGUAAAACUCUGUUAUUAGGGAAGAACAUAUGUGUAAGUAACUGUGCACAUCUUGACGGUACCUAAUCAGAAAGCCACGGCUAACUACGUG
This 497-nucleotide ribosomal RNA is filed under the name uncultured bacterium. RNAcentral's name for it is "partial 16S ribosomal RNA". It matches the Rfam family "Bacterial small subunit ribosomal RNA", at positions 28 to 507 of the family's 1533-position model. The record is from RNAcentral.